This 253-nucleotide ribosomal RNA is filed under the name uncultured bacterium. RNAcentral's name for it is "partial 16S ribosomal RNA". It matches the Rfam family "Bacterial small subunit ribosomal RNA", at positions 524 to 776 of the family's 1533-position model. The record is from RNAcentral.
GACGGAAGGUGCAAGCGUUGCUCGGAAUCACUGGGCGUAAAGGGUGCGUAGGCGGCCGCGCAAGUCUGGCGUGAAAGCCCCGGGCUCAGCCCGGGAAGGGCGCUCGAAACGGCGCGGCUCGAGUGCCGGAGGGGAGAGUGGAAUUCCUGGUGUAGCGGUGAAAUGCGCAGAUAUCAGGAGGAACACCAAUUGCGAAGGCAGCUCGCUGGGACGUUACUGACGCUGAGACGCGAAAGCGUGGGGAGCAAACAGG